CAGCCGCCGCGGGAAUACAGAGGGUGCGAGCGUUAAUCGGAUUUACUGGGCGUAAAGCGUGCGUAGGCGGCUUCUUAAGUCGGAUGUGAAAUCCCCGAGCUUAACUUGGGAAUUGCAUUCGAUACUGGUUAGCUAGAGUGUGGGAGAGGAUGGUAGAAUUCCAGGUGUAGCGGUGAAAUGCGUAGAGAUCUGGAGGAAUACCGAUGGCGAAGGCAGCCAUCUGGCCUAACACUGACGCUGAGGUACGAAAGCAUGGGGAGCAAACAGGAUUAGAUACCCGCGUAGUCCCUGUCUCUUAUAC
RNAcentral lists this ribosomal RNA (301 nucleotides) under uncultured bacterium. RNAcentral's name for it is "partial 16S ribosomal RNA". It matches the Rfam family "Bacterial small subunit ribosomal RNA", at positions 509 to 807 of the family's 1533-position model. The record is from RNAcentral.